Molecule: ribosomal RNA, 431 nt
Filed under: uncultured bacterium
Lineage: Bacteria
Description: partial 16S ribosomal RNA
Rfam family: Bacterial small subunit ribosomal RNA
Source: RNAcentral
CCUACGGGAGGCAGCAGUGAGGAAUAUUGGUCAAUGGACGCAAGUCUGAACCAGCCAUGCCGCGUGAAGGAUGAAGGCGUUUGCGUUGUAAACUUCUUUUAUCUGGGAAGCGGUACCAGAGGAAUAAGCACCGGCUAACUCCGUGCCAGCAGCCGCGGUAAUACGGAGGGUGCAAGCGUUAUCCGGAUUCACUGGGUUUAAAGGGUGUGUAGGCGGAUAUUUAAGUCCGAGGUGAAAUCUCCAGGCUCAACCUGGAAACUGCCUUGGAUACUAUUUAUCUUGAAUAUCGUUGAGGUAGGCGGAAUAUAUCAUGUAGCGGUGAAAUGCUUAGAGAUGAUAUAGAACACCGAUUGCGAAGGCAGCUUACUAACGAGAUUGACGCUGAGGCACGAAAGCGUGGGGAUCAAACAGGAUUAGAUACCCUUGUAGUC